CCUACGGGUGGCAGCAGUGGGGAAUAUUGGGCAAUGGGCGCAAGCCUGACCCAGCAACGCCGCGUGAAGGAAGAAGGCUUUCGGGUUGUACACUUCUUUUCUCAGGGACGAAGCAAGUGACGGUACCUGAGGAAUAAGCCACGGCUAACUACGUGCCAGCAGCCGCGGGAAUACGUAGGUGGCAAGCGUUAUACGGAUUUAAUGGGUGUAAAGGUCGGGUAGGCGGGGACGCAAGUCAGAUGUGACAACCACGGGCUCAACCUGUGGCCGUCAUUUGAAACUGUGUUUCUUGAGUACUGGAGAGGCAGACGGAAUUCCUAGUGGAGCGGUGAAAGGCGUAGAUAGUAGGAGGAACACCAGUGGCGAAGGCGGUCUGCUGGACAGCAACGGACGCUGAGGCGCGAAAGCGUGGGGAGCAAACAGGAUUAGAUACCCCAGUAGUC
This 443-nucleotide ribosomal RNA is filed under the name uncultured bacterium. Its description in RNAcentral is "partial 16S ribosomal RNA". It matches the Rfam family "Bacterial small subunit ribosomal RNA", at positions 338 to 795 of the family's 1533-position model. The record is from RNAcentral.